AAAUUGAAGAGUUUGAUCAUGGCUCAGAUUGAACGCUGGCGGCAGGCCUAACACAUGCAAGUCGAACGGUAACAGGAAGCAGCUUGCUGCUUCGCUGACGAGUGGCGGACGGGUGAGUAAUGUCUGGGAAACUGCCUGAUGGAGGGGGAUAACUACUGGAAACGGUGGCUAAUACCGCAUAACGUCGCAAGACCAAAGAGGGGGACCUUCGGGCCUCUUGCCAUCAGAUGUGCCCAGAUGGGAUUAGCUUGUUGGUGAGGUAACGGCUCACCAAGGCGACGAUCCCUAGCUGGUCUGAGAGGAUGAC
This 307-nucleotide ribosomal RNA is filed under the name Salmonella enterica. RNAcentral's name for it is "bacterial SSU rRNA". It matches the Rfam family "Bacterial small subunit ribosomal RNA", at positions 1 to 304 of the family's 1533-position model. Lineage: Bacteria; Pseudomonadati; Pseudomonadota; Gammaproteobacteria; Enterobacterales; Enterobacteriaceae. RNAcentral also lists the same sequence under 3 other names. The record is from RNAcentral.